UAACACAUGCAAGUCGAACGAGCGAGAGAUGAAACCUAGUGAUUCUCGAGCGAGUGGCGGACGGGUGAGUAACGCGUGGGUAACCUGCCUUACAGAGGGGGAUAACAGUCUGAAAAGACUGCUAAUACCGCAUAAGCACACAGUACCGCAUGGUACAGGGUGAAAAGAUUUAUCACUGUAAGAUGGACCCGCGUCUGAUUAGCCAGUUGGCAGGGUAACGGCCUACCAAAGCGACGAUCAGUAGCCGACCUGAGAGGGUGAUCGGCCACAUUGGGACUGAGACACGGCCCAAACUCCUACGGGAGGCAGCAGUGGGGGAUAUUGCACAAUGGAGGAAACUCUGAUGCAAGCGACGCCGCGUGAGUGAAGAAGUAUUUCGGUAUGUAAAGCUCUAUCAGCAGGGAAGAUAAUGACAGUACCUGACCAAGAAGCCCCGGCUAACUACGUGCCAGCCGCGGC
RNAcentral lists this ribosomal RNA (459 nucleotides) under uncultured bacterium. RNAcentral describes it as "bacterial SSU rRNA". It matches the Rfam family "Bacterial small subunit ribosomal RNA", at positions 49 to 518 of the family's 1533-position model. The record is from RNAcentral.